GUAACGCCCGGCCCUGCCCCCAGCAGAGGCGGAAGCGGUGUCGCUCUGAGGGGUCGCCAGUCGCCGCAGGCGCUUCAGCCCAGCGGCGGGCCUUGGCCCUUGGCUGCCUACUCCUACCGCCCCAGCCCCGGGCGGCCCUGGGCCUGCUGCGGGCGCGGCGCUGCCCGACCAGAGCUUCCUGUGGAACGUCUUCCAGAGGGUCGAUAAAGACAGGAGUGGAGUGAUAUCAGACACCGAGCUUCAGCAAGCUCUCUCCAACGGACAAAGGAAUCAUUAGGACAAAUUGUUAAUACUGCUUCAUGGUGGAGAUGCUUCUGGUUUAUUUUGUGGCUACCGCUGUUACUGCUUGGAGUGCCUCACCGAGCCAGGAUGAAGCUCCACCCGCCCUUCAGGAUGCAAAGCCCUCCUCUAUAAAGUGCAUGCGGGGCCAGAUGCAGUGGCUCACAUCUGACCUCCCAACACUUUGGGAGGCCGAGGCAGGGGGAUCGCUUGAGCCCAGGAGUUUGAGACCAGCCUGGACAACAUUGAUGAAGCCCCACCCGCCCUUCAGGAUGCCAGCCUUGGCAACAUCGUGAGACCCUGUUUCUACAAAAACUAAACAAGUGUAGUGGUGCACGCCUGUAUUCCCAGCUACUUGGGAGGCUGAGAUGGGAAGAUCACUUGAGCCUGGGAGGUUGAGGCUGCAUUGAGCUGAGAUCAAGCCACGGCACUCCAGCCUGGGAGACAGAGCGAAACCCCAUCUCAAAAAAACAAAGAAAGUGGAUGCGUGCUGCUCCUGCCAUUGGAUCAUCGCAGCAUUUUUCUUUUCUCUGAUAUGCGCCUUUUUCCUCAUCGUGGGGGCUCAUGUUUUCGUAAUUCCCUCUCGCUACUAGAUUGUGAGCUGUGUGAAGGAAGGUUCAUAGUUGAGUUGUAUGUACAGGCACACAAAAUUUGUCCUUGGAUAGACACAUAUCAAUCCACUUCCUUCUCCUCUCUGAAUUUCUUUAUUUAAAAAAAAAAGUAGAGAUGGAGUCUCACUGUCUUGCCCAGGCUGGUGUCAAACUCCUAGGCUCAAGUGAUCCUCCCACCUCUACUAAUAUGAAUUAUUAGGCUAUGCUAAUAUGAAUUUGUAUACUAAUAUGAUUGAAAUUAGUUUGACUUCUAUAAUAAUUGUUCUCCCAGAUUGGGCUUCUGUUUUGAUAGUAGAACUAAAUUAUUAGGCUAUUUCAAGAAAUUAAUAUAUUACUGGUAGAAAAACUGAAGCUACAAAAUGGCCUGGUUUCUCACUUCAGUUAAAUUUGUGCUUCUGAGUGCUUGUAUUCUAGGUGAAACCGCACUGAGAAGGUAUUUGUGGCCUAUACGCUGAUUCAUUGAUUAGACUUCUUUGCACAGGAGAGCUGCUAAAAAUUACUGCGGUGAACAG
This 1402-nucleotide long non-coding RNA is filed under the name Homo sapiens (human). RNAcentral's name for it is "non-protein coding lnc-LPCAT1-4:11". Lineage: Eukaryota; Metazoa; Chordata; Mammalia; Primates; Hominidae. The record is from RNAcentral.